RNAcentral lists this ribosomal RNA (273 nucleotides) under Escherichia coli. RNAcentral's name for it is "partial 23S ribosomal RNA". It matches the Rfam family "Bacterial large subunit ribosomal RNA", at positions 1408 to 1683 of the family's 2925-position model. Lineage: Bacteria; Pseudomonadati; Pseudomonadota; Gammaproteobacteria; Enterobacterales; Enterobacteriaceae. The record is from RNAcentral.
GGCGUAGUCGAUGGGAAACAGGUUAAUAUACCUGUACUUGGUGUUACUGCGAAGGGGGGACGGCGAAGGCUAUGUUGGCCGGGCGACGGUUGUCCCGGUUUAAGCGUGUAGGCUGGUUUUCCAGGCAAAUCCGGAAAAUAAAGGCUGAGGCGUGAUGACGAGGCACUACGGUGCUGAAGCAACAAAUGCCCAGCUUCCAGGAAAAGCCUCUAAGCAACAGGUAACAUCAAAUCGUACCCCAAACCGACCCAGGUGGUCAGGUAGAGAAUACCA